GCCGAGCUGAGCAACGCAAGCUUGUAACCCAAGUGGGGGCUUUGAGGUGUUGGAACAUUGGUCCAAUAUGGCAGGUCGGGUUCAAUGUUGCUUUAUUCUGGCGUGCCCAUUCCAAGCAAAGAGUUGGGCCAUGUGGCUUGGGCGAAGGCUCUGGGCUUCAUGGUUCCUAGAGUGGAGGGCACUGCGUAAGGCUGGUUUCACAGAGCAAUGAUUACUUCCCGCUCUUGGCAGUGGAAGGAUAACAGGUCGGUGCCACCUGGAUCCACUGUGGCCUGCUAGAUAGUCCCAAUUGAACCAAAACUUUU
Molecule: non-coding RNA, 305 nt
Organism: Prunus persica (peach)
Lineage: Eukaryota; Viridiplantae; Streptophyta; Magnoliopsida; Rosales; Rosaceae
Rfam family: Plant signal recognition particle RNA
Source: Rfam